AUAUUGCGCAAUGGGGGGAACCCUGACGCAGCAACGCCGCGUGAAGGAAGAAGGUCUUCGGAUUGUAAACUUCUUUGAUGAGGGACGAAUAAAGUGACGGUACCUCAAAAACAAGCCACGGCUAACUACGUGCCAGCAGCCGCGGUAAUACGUAGGUGGCGAGCGUUGUCCGGAAUUACUGGGUGUAAAGGGCGUGUAGGCGGGGAUGCAAGUCAGAUGUGAAAUACCGAGGCUUAACCUCGGGGCUGCAUCUGAAACUGUGUUUCUUGAGUGUCGGAGAGGAAAGCGGAAUUCCCAGUGUAGCGGUGAAAUGCGUAGAGAUUGGGAGGAACACCAGUGGCGAAGGCGGCUUUCUGGACGACAACUGACGCUGAGGCGCGAAAGCGUGGGGAGCAAACAGG
RNAcentral lists this ribosomal RNA (401 nucleotides) under uncultured bacterium. Its description in RNAcentral is "bacterial SSU rRNA". It matches the Rfam family "Bacterial small subunit ribosomal RNA", at positions 361 to 776 of the family's 1533-position model. The record is from RNAcentral.